Schizosaccharomyces pombe (fission yeast) is the source of this 943-nucleotide non-coding RNA. The record is from the annotation of a GenBank genome assembly. NCBI's taxonomy places the organism in Eukaryota, Fungi, Ascomycota, Schizosaccharomycetes, Schizosaccharomycetales, Schizosaccharomycetaceae.
GCGGUAGGAACAGGAAUGGCGGUUGUCGUAUGAUUAUCGUGAGCAAUAUUUUGAUUUUUAAAACGCUCACGGGCUCGGCUUAAUAGCUCUUCUUGUUGUCUCAAUAACUCAUCUCUUGAUACACCGGAUUGUUCAAAUUUGCUACUUUUCUUCUCACGAUUCUUUUGUUGUUCUUUAUGCUCUGCCGCCACUUCCAAAGCUUCAGCAAUAUAUUCCUUGAAUUCCAAAUUCUCUAAAGCUUUAAUAAUGUGUUCAGCGGCUAUAGUUUUUUUUGCCUCCUUUUCGCAUAUUUCAUUAGCUUCACUAGAAACAAGAUGUAUGAACUCCACACAGCACUCUAUCAGUAAAUCUCUAGCUUCCUUCGUAAAAGUCAAGUCCACUGGAAGUAUGUCGGAAACCAUUUUCUGAACGGUGGCUACACAUUAUUAGUAAAUAUGGAUUGCAAUUCUUUUACCUUUGGGAAGGGACAAUUCAUCGUCCGCGAAACCAUCAUUCAUUAUGCAAAAUUUUUAUUCCUAAUUUCGUUCGUUUCAGUAAUGCAAAACGAUUUUAGAGAAUGCAGGUUUGUGUAAUACUCAAACUAGUAUAGAUUCGUUGCAUGCUUUGUUAUACAUACACAUAUAUAUAUUUUCGUCCAAGAAGAUAUUCGUAGAGUACACUGGAAUGCAGUAUUGGUAGACUCGUUCUAUUCAGCAAAGAAUGACAAAAAUGAUUUUAUAAGUAUAUUAGACGGCAAUUUCACAACUCGAUUAUACUUGCAGAAUAAUUUAAAAAAGACAUGGAUUUGAUUACGGCUUAUUCUUGUGCUUUGAAAAUCCAAAAUUACGACAGGGUAUCAGAGCACUACAAAAUAAAUGAAAAAAAAUUUAAUGAAUUAUUUUCGAGCAAUUCCGGCUAAUUAAACCCGAUACUCUGAAGUUCUCAUAGAAUGAUCAGCAUAUUG